This 23-nucleotide microRNA is filed under the name Homo sapiens (human). RNAcentral's name for it is "hsa-miR-2682-5p". The record is from miRBase by way of RNAcentral. Lineage: Eukaryota; Metazoa; Chordata; Mammalia; Primates; Hominidae.
CAGGCAGUGACUGUUCAGACGUC